CAAACUGUCUGAAUAUGGUAUGCAUGCUAUAACUUGUACCUACAUUAUGAGACAAUGUAACACAUAGACAUAUAUGUAGAUCAGUACUUUGAGAAUGUACUGAGUAUAUGAUUAAUAAUAGCAUACUAUUGAUUAAUAGUAACAUAUUAUUUGAUGAUUAAAAGGUAAUCUUUUAUUUUUUGAAUAAAAUAUAGGUUCCUUUUUAUUAUAAAUGGAAGGGGUAUUUACUUUUUCUGUAACAAACAUAUACACAAUACAACACAUACGAACACACCAAAAAUACACAAAUCUGCUCUCUCUCUCUCUUUGAACUCACUCUUUAUACUUUUUGUCCCAAAAGCCACCAUUAAUGCCGGAGCUCUAGUGAGUGGGCUCCGGCGACCACCACACGACAGCCUCCGCCACACCUCUCUCCUCUCUCUUUUCUUUCUUCUCUCUUUUUCUCACUCCCAAAACCACCGCCAACCACCCAUAAACCACCAAUGUUGCUCCUUAUCCGUGGCUGCCUCGCCGAAAGUGAUGACCGUCGAGCGCCACCGCCUCCGAUCGUCUUUCUCCCCUCCUCCAUUUGCUACUGUUUGCCAAAAAUGGGCUAGAUCUAUCUAAGAAACCUCCCAACGCACCACCACCGCCACUGCCUUACUAGUAUGGCCUGAUUUAGGCGAAAUUUUGUUUUUCUCGGCAUUGCUCUGGUGAACACCGUUGAAGAAACGCCACUAACAACCUUUGUUAUCUCCGAUUUUGUGAUUUAUUUAGUUUUUCUGAUUUUUAAAGAAAACCAGAUUUGUGCAUUUCUUGUAUAUUUUAGUGACCUUGAAUUUUCUUGAAGAAUACUGUUUGUGGGUUCUAUUGACGAUGUCUUUUGGUGAUUGUUGCUCUAUUUUUCUACUAAUUUGGACUGAGUUUUGUUUGUUUUGCUUUAUUACUAUGUUUUGCAAAUCUUGGGACUGUUCUAGUGUCAUUUUGUCUCUUUUACUGAUUUUUGAAUAUACUUUACUGAUAAUAAACAGAUACUACACUAAUUAAUUCGGCCAUUGAAAUUAUUUUCCCGUCAGAUAUUUGAGGUGACCCAUUAAAAAUACGGACUUUAUUUUAUCAAAAUUAUUAUUUUAUAUUAAAGACCUACAUGGCCAAUGAUAUUAUUUUUACGUCGAGUUUUUGAGGCCAUCACAUUACAAAGACGGAUUUUACUUUUCUAAAAUAUUAUUUUACAUCAAGGAUUGACGCAUGGUCGAUGAAGAAAUAUUCCAUCGAUUUUUUAGGGUUGUGCAAAAAUCGAAUCGAUCGAUAAAUCGAACUGAUAAAAAUAUUAUUGGGUUAUUGGUAUUGGGUUAUCGGAUUAACAAUUUUUUAUUAGUUUUAUAAAAAAAUUUAUUGGGUAAACGGUUCGGUAUCGAUUUUAGCUUAUUAGGUUAUCAGUUAAAUUGAUAACCCAAUAAGAAUGCACUAAGUUAUUGUUUUAUUCCUAUUUAUGUUAUAUAUUUAAAUAUCUCUCUCUAUGUAUAUAGAUAGAAUGUGUAUGUAUAUAGAUUAUAUGCACUACUAAUUUAUAAUUUAGUGAUUCACAAAGUAUUAACCUAUUCAGGGCAACAAAGGCACAAUAUAAAGUUCGACUAUCAUCGUAAUAAAAAACUUGAAGUAUUUAUAGCUUCCAACAAUUAGGAUUCAAUUUUUUUCCUUACUAAUAUUCAGUUCAAGUUUGAAGAUUUUUGUAAAUUAAAAUACAUUGCGUAGGUUUUGACGGUAAUUAAGAUUUAAUUUUUUUAUAUUAGUUGUUACUAUUUCUAUUUUAUAAGUAUUUCCUUAUUGGUUAAACCAAAAAUCGAACCGUUAAGGAUAAAAAAUCGAUAAAUCGAAACCGAUUAGAAAAUAUCUUAUUGGUUGGUUAUUGGUUUUACAUAUUUAAAAAUUGAAAAUCGAUAAACUGAACCAAUAACACGUAAAAUUGAACCGAACCAACCGAUGCACACCCCUAGAUUUUUUAGGCCUUUGCAAAUAAAAAGACGGAUAUUACGUAUAUAAAUACGUAUAAAAUAAAUAAAUUCAAAAAAGAUUUUAUAAUUCGUAUCUUGGUAAGGCGUUUUAGGACGGCCGAUCAAUCAAGCAAUCACUUCGUAGCCAUGACGAAUCUAAAACUUAAUCUGAGUCCACCUUUAAAUAAAAAUUAUAUUUUUAAAAGUACAUAUUUUACAUACUUUUUUAAAUUUUAUUUUGAUAAUUAACUAUUUGUUACCAACAUUGUUACAAGUGUUUAUACAUGUUAUUUUGAAAUACUCGGUGGGAGUUGCGUUCAGAGAGACCUUUAAAUUUUGUAUUGUAUUUUUAUAUUUUUAUAUUUGUACAAUACUAUUAUAGUGAAAAACUUUACUCUUUGGGUGUCGGGUGGGGAUAUUCUUCAUUUACAUAAUUUUAUCGCUUUAGGCAAACUUAGGCCGUUAAUAUUUAUACAAAAUAUAAUUAAUUUAAUCAACUAAGGGCUCGUUUGGCCAUGAAAAUUUUUCCCUUUUUUUCGAAAAAAAAAUUCGGAGUUGGAAAUUGUGAUGUUUCGCCAUGAAAAUUCGAAAAAUAAUUUCGGAAAAUUUUUCUGAAAAGGGAAAAUAGGUUUUUGUUGUUUUCACAAUUUUUCAACUCCAAUUUCAACUUUUAUUAUUAUUACAUAUAACCCCAAUCUUUUAAAUUUUUACAUAAAACUCUCCUUAUAACAUUACUUUUUCAAUAUUACGUAUAUAGCAGUUUUAAAGAAUAAGAUAAUUAUAAUUUCAAACUUAAUGUUAUCCUAAUUAAUAUAUAUCUCUUUUUCUCUCUCAUUAUUAUUUUUAUCCCUUAUUUAAUUUUAUUCCUUAUUUAAGACAUUAUUUUAUUGCUAAUUUAUAUUUAUACCCAUAAAUAUAUAAAGUAUUAUAUUUAUAAAAAAUUAUCACUGAUAUGGUGUUGCCACAUUUUGUUACUGUUAUUGCUAAUCUUGGGUUUGUUUGCACCCGAAAAAUUAAUUAUAUAGAUAGAUUUACUUCGCAUUGACUAAUUUUGGGACUGUAAUACAUGGCCGAUGACAUUAUCUCUCCGUCGGAUACUUGAGGCCACCACAUUACGAAAGACGAACUUUAUUUUCUCACGUUUCCUAUUUUAUAUCAAAAUGAAUACAUGGCCAGUGAAGAAACUUCUGUCAGUUUUCGAGGUCUUCUCAAAUAAAAGACAGACAGUACAAAUACGUAACAAAAAGAAAAUAAAUUAGGGCGAUGACAAAAAUUUUAUAACAUCACGACAACACGAAGGAUUUUUUGAUUCAUAUUUUGGCAAGACGAUUUAGAAUGACCGAUAAAUCGAGCAAUCACUUCGUAGCAAUGGUGAUAUCUAAAAUUUAAUCCGAGCCCACGCUUUAACAAAAAUAAUUCUAUUUUAUGUAUAUUUGUAUACAUAUUGCACACAUAGUUCUUAAUUUUAUUUUACUUUGUUACUAA
RNAcentral lists this long non-coding RNA (3458 nucleotides) under Capsicum annuum. Its description in RNAcentral is "long non-coding RNA (CANN_LNC018540)". The record is from RNAcentral. Lineage: Eukaryota; Viridiplantae; Streptophyta; Magnoliopsida; Solanales; Solanaceae.